GGCAAUUAAUCAUGUGGCUUAGCUGGUUAAAGCACCUGUCUUGUAAACAGGAGAUCCUGAGUUCAAAUCUCAGCGGUGCCU
Molecule: non-coding RNA, 81 nt
Organism: Erpetoichthys calabaricus (reedfish)
Lineage: Eukaryota; Metazoa; Chordata; Cladistia; Polypteriformes; Polypteridae
Source: the annotation of a RefSeq genome assembly